RNAcentral lists this long non-coding RNA (269 nucleotides) under Gossypium barbadense (sea-island cotton). Its description in RNAcentral is "long non-coding RNA (GBAR_LNC001647)". The record is from RNAcentral. Lineage: Eukaryota; Viridiplantae; Streptophyta; Magnoliopsida; Malvales; Malvaceae.
CCAUUAACACAACAUGUUUCAUGGCAUGUUUUGCCCAUCAUCCCUUGUCAUGGCCGGCCACUAGUACUUAAAUGGGGGGAAAUUGACAUGCAAGUCCACCCCUUUGAUUACAUGCACUAUUAGGCCACUUGCAUUUGCCUAGCACAUUUCUAAAUUUUCUCACAUAAGUCAUAUCAACUAAAUUCACAUGCAAUUAACUAAAUCGAAGCUUAAAACUUUCACACAUUUAUAUUCACAUAUUUUAGGCAAUAAUUAUCACAUUCAAAUAA